Molecule: ribosomal RNA, 497 nt
Filed under: uncultured bacterium
Lineage: Bacteria
Description: partial 16S ribosomal RNA
Rfam family: Bacterial small subunit ribosomal RNA
Source: RNAcentral
GAUGAACGCUGGCGGCGUGCCUAAUACAUGCAAGUCGAGCGAACGGACGAGAAGCUUGCUUCUCUGAUGUUAGCGGCGGAUGGGUGAGUCACACGUGGAUAACCUACCUAUAAUACUUGGAUAACUUCGGGAAACCGGAGCUAAUACCGGUUAAUAUUCUGAACCGCAUGGUUCAACAGUGAAAGACGGUCUUGCUGUCACUUAUAGAUGGAUCCGCUCUGCAUUAGCUAGGUGGUAAGGUAACGGCUUACCAAGGCAACGAUGCGUAGUCGACGUGAGAGGGUGAUCGGCCACACUGGAACUGAGACACGGUCCAGACUCCUACGAGAGGCAGCCGUAGGGAAUCUUGCGCAAUAGGGGGUAAUCAAACGGAACAACGGCGCGUACGUGGUAGAAGUGUUCGAAUCGUAAAACUCUCUUAUUAGUGACAAACACAUAUGUAACUAGCUCUGCACAACUUGACGGUUCCUAGUCAAAAUACCACGGCUAACUACGGG